AACGAACGCUGGCGGCAUGCCUAACACAUGCAAGUCGAACGAGACCUUCGGGUCUAGUGGCGCACGGGUGCGUAACGCGUGGGAACCUGCCCUUAGGUUCGGAAUAACUCCCCGAAAGGGGUGCUAAUACCGGAUAAUGUCUUCGGACCAAAGAUUUAUCGCCUUUGGAUGGGCCCGCGUUGGAUUAGCUAGUUGGUAGGGUAAAAGCCUACCAAGGCGACGAUCCAUAGCUGGUCUGAGAGGAUGAUCAGCCACACUGGAACUGAGACACGGCCCAGACUCCUACGGGAGGCAGCAGUAGGGAAUAUUAGACAAUGGGCGAAAGCCUGAUCCAGCAAUGCCGCGUAAGUGAUGAAGGCCUUAGGGUUGUAAAGCUCUUUUACCCGGGAUGAUAAUGACAGUACCGGGAGAAUAAGCUCCGGCUAGCUCCGUG
Molecule: ribosomal RNA, 433 nt
Filed under: uncultured bacterium
Lineage: Bacteria
Description: partial 16S ribosomal RNA
Rfam family: Bacterial small subunit ribosomal RNA
Source: RNAcentral